GGUUUAGAAGUUCUCUGGUGGAAUUUUUAGAGUCACAUAUAUACUAUCAUAUCUUCUGCAAAAAGUGAUAUUUUGACUUCUUCCUUUCCAAUUUGUAUCCCCUUGAUCUCCUUUUGUUGUCGAAUUGCUCUGGCAAGGACUUCAAGUACUAUGUUGAAUAGGUAGAGAGAAAGUGGGCAGCCUUGUCUAGCCCCUGAUUUUAGUGAGAUUGCUUCCAGCUUCUCACCAUUUACUUUGAUGUUGGCUACUGGUUUGCUGUAGAUUGCUUUUAUCAUGUUUAGGUAUAAGACUCGAAUUUCUGAUCUUUCCAAGAUUUUUAUCAUGAAUAGAUGUUGAAUUUUGUCAAAUGCUUUCUCCGAAUCUAAUGAGAUGAUCAUGUGGUUUUUGUCUUUGAGUUUGUUUAGAUAGUGGAUUACAUUGAUGGAUUUCCAUAUAUUAAACCAUCCCUGCAUCCCUGGAAUGAAACCUACUUGGUCAGGAUGGAUGAUUGUUUUGAUGUAUUCUUGGAUUUGGAUAGCAAGAAUUUUAAUGAAUAUUUUUACAUCAAUAUUGAUAAGGGAAAUUGGCCUGAAGUUCUCUAUCUUUGUUGGGUCUUUCUGUGAUUUAGGUAUCAGAGUAUUUGUGGCUUCAUAGAAUGAAUUGGGUAGAGAACCUUCUGUUUCUAUUUGGUGGAAUAGUUUGAGAAGAACUGGAAUUAGAUCUUCUUUGAAGAUCUGAUAGAACUCUGCAACAAACUCAUCAGGGUCCUGGGCUUUUUUUUUUUUUUUUUUUUUUUUUUUUGGCAGACUAUUAAUAACUGCUUCUAUUUCUUUAGGGGAUAUUAGCACUGUUUAGAUCAUUAAUCUAAUCCUGAUUUAACAUUGGUACCUGGUAUCUUUCCAGAAAUUUGUCCAUUUCACAGGUUUUCCAGUUUUGUUGAGUAUAGCCUUUUGUAGGAGGAUCCGAUUGUGUUUUGGAUUUCUUCAGGAUAUGUUGUUAUGUCUCCCUUUUCAGUUCUGAUUUUGUUAAUUAGGAUGCUGUCUCUUUGUGUUCUUGUGAGUCUGGCUAAGGGUUUAUCUAUCUUGUUGAUUUUCUCAAAGAACCAGCUCCUCCUUUAGUUGAUUCUUUGAAUAGUUCUUUUUGUUUCCACUUGGUUGAUUUUGCCCCUGAAUUUUAUUAUUUCCUGAAGUCUACUCCUCUUGCGUGAAUUUGCUUCCUUUUGGUCUAGAGCUUUUAGGUGUAUUGUCAAGCUGCUAGUGUGUACCCUCUUUAGUUUCUUUUUGGAGGCACUCAGAGCUUUGAGUUUUCCUCCUAUAAAUGCUUUCAUUGUAUCCCAUAAGCUUGGGUAUGUUGUGUCUUCAUUUUUAUUAAACUCUAAAAAGUCUUUAAUUUCUUUCUUUAUUCUUUCCUUGAUCCAGGUAUCACUGAGGAGAGUGUUGUUCAGUUUCCACGUGCAUGUUGGCUUUCUAUUAUUUAUGUUGUUAUUGAAGAUCAGCCUUAGUCCAUGGUGAUCUGAUAGGAUGCAUGGGACAAUUUCAGUAUUUUUGUAUCUGUUGAGGCCUGUUUUGUGACCAAUUAUAUUGUGAAUUUUUGAUGGGUUACCAUGAGGUGCUGAGAAGAAGGUAUAUCCUUUUGUUUUAGGAUAAAAUAUUCUGGAGAUAUAUGUUAAAUCCAUUUCUUUCAUAACUUUUGUUAGUGUCACUGUGUCCCUUUUUAGUUUCUGUUUCCAUGAUCUGUCCAUUGAUGAAAGUGGUGUGUUGAAGUCUCCCACUAUUAUUGUGUGAGGUGCAAUGUGUACUCUGAGCUUUACUAAAGUUUCUUUAAUGAAUAUGGCUGUCUUUGCAUUUGAAACAUAGAUACUCAGAAUUGAGAGUUCCUCCUGGAAGAUUUUACCUUUGUUGAGUAUGAAGUGCCCCUCCUUGUCAUUUUUGAUAACUUUGGGUUGUAAGUUGACUUUAUUCAAUAUUAGAAUGGCUACCCCAGCUUGUUUCUUCAGACCAUUUGCUUGGGAAAUUGUUUUCCAGCCUUUCACUCUGAGAUAGUGUCUUUUUCCCUGAGAUGGGGUUCAUGUAAGCAGCAAAAUCUUGGGUCCUGUUUGUGUAGAGCUUCUGUUAAUCUAUGUCUUUUUAUUGGGGAAUUGAGUCCAUUAAUGUUGAGAGAAAUCAAAGAAAAGAAAUUGUUGCUUCCUAUUAUUUUUGCUUUUAGCGUUGGCAUUCUGUUCUUGUGUCUUUAUUCUUUUAGGUUUGUUAAAGGAUUACUUUCUUGCUUUUUCUAGGGCAUAGUUUCCAUCCUUGUCUUGGAUUUUUUUCUGUUAUUAUCCUUUGAAGGGCUGGAUUC
RNAcentral lists this long non-coding RNA (2316 nucleotides) under Mus musculus (house mouse). RNAcentral's name for it is "long non-coding RNA chrX:14381967-14384283". The record is from RNAcentral. Lineage: Eukaryota; Metazoa; Chordata; Mammalia; Rodentia; Muridae.